CCUACGGGAGGCAGCAGUGAGGAAUAUUGGUCAAUGGCAGGAAUCCUGAACCAGCCAUGCCGCGUGCAGGACGACGGCUCUACGAGUUGUAAACUUCUUUUGUACCGGGGUAAAAUGCUCUACGCGUAGCGUUUUGAAAGUACCGUACGAAUAAGCAUCGGCUAACUCCGUGCCAGCAGCCGCGGUAAUACGGAGGAUCCGAGCGUUAUCCGGAUUUAUUGGGUUUAAAGGGUGCGUAGGUUGUUGUGUAAGUUAGCGGUGAAAUACUGAUGCUCAACAUCUGCGCUGCCGCUAAUACUGUGGUACUAGAGAUAGCAUGAAGCAGGCGGAAUGUGUAGUGUAGCGGUGAAAUGCAGAGAUAUUACGCAGAACACCGAUUGCGAAGGCAGCUUGCUAGGCCGGAACUGACGCUGAUGCACGAAAGCGUGGGGAUCGAACAGGAUUAGAUACCCGUGUAGUC
This 460-nucleotide ribosomal RNA is filed under the name uncultured bacterium. Its description in RNAcentral is "partial 16S ribosomal RNA". It matches the Rfam family "Bacterial small subunit ribosomal RNA", at positions 338 to 795 of the family's 1533-position model. The record is from RNAcentral.